This 69-nucleotide transfer RNA is filed under the name Anolis chrysolepis (goldenscale Anole). Its description in RNAcentral is "tRNA-Tyr". The record is from RNAcentral. Lineage: Eukaryota; Metazoa; Chordata; Lepidosauria; Squamata; Anolidae.
GAUAAAGAAAGGAUUGAAACCAAUGUGAGUAGGACUACAGCCUACCGCCUAAUAUUCAGCCACUUUACC